UGCAAGUCGAGGGGCAGCAUGAACUUAGCUUGCUAAGUUUGAUGGCGACCGGCGCACGGGUGAGUAACACGUAUCCAACCUGCCGAUGACUCGGGGAUAGCCUUUCGAAAGAAAGAUUAAUACCCGAUGGCAUAAUUCUUCCGCAUGGUAGAACUAUUAAAGAAUUUCGGUCAUCGAUGGGGAUGCGUUCCAUUAGGUUGUUGGCGGGGUAACGGCCCACCAAGCCUUCGAUGGAUAGGGGUUCUGAGAGGAAGGUCCCCCACAUUGGAACUGAGACACGGUCCAAACUCCUACGGGAGGCAGCAGUGAGGAAUAUUGGUCAAUGGACGAGAGUCUGAACCAGCCAAGUAGCGUGAAGGAUGACUGCCCUAUGGGUUGUAAACUUCUUUUAUACGGGAAUAAAGUGAGGCACGUGUGCCUUUUUGUAUGUACCGUAUGAAUAAGGAUCGGCUAACUCCGUGCCAGCAGCCGCGGUAAUACGGAGGAUCCGAGCGUUAUCCGGAUUUAUUGGGUUUAAAGGGAGCGUAGGCGGACGCUUAAGUCAGUUGUGAAAGUUUGCGGCUCAACCGUAAAAUUGCAGUUGAUACUGGGUGUCUUGAGUACAGUAGAGGCAGGCGGAAUUCGUGGUGUAGCGGUGAAAUGCUUAGAUAUCACGAAGAACUCCGAUUGCGAAGGCAGCUUGCUGGACUGUAACUGACGCUGAUGCUCGAAAGUGUGGGUAUCAAACAGGAUUAGAUACCCUGGUAGUCCACACAGUAAACGAUGAAUACUCGCUGUUUGCGAUAUACAGUAAGCGGCCA
Molecule: ribosomal RNA, 800 nt
Filed under: uncultured bacterium
Lineage: Bacteria
Description: bacterial SSU rRNA
Rfam family: Bacterial small subunit ribosomal RNA
Source: RNAcentral